AAAGUGCAUGCGCUUUGGG
RNAcentral lists this microRNA (19 nucleotides) under Mus musculus (house mouse). RNAcentral's name for it is "mmu-miR-350-5p". Its record names the gene mmu-miR-350-5p. The record is from miRBase by way of RNAcentral. Lineage: Eukaryota; Metazoa; Chordata; Mammalia; Rodentia; Muridae.